AGGUCAUUUACAUAUAGCCCUUGCGCAGCGCCCUCGCUUGAUCUCAAGACUCUCUCACUUAUCAUUGUCUAUUGUUUAGCUUAUCUGUUCCAAGAAGUAGUGAGUCAUUCAUACCACAGCACAUGUACAGCCAACAUUGAUAUCUGUUCUGUGGCAAAAGUUCCAUCUAUUUCAUACAUUUUUCAUGGUACAAGUUAGAAAGGAGAAGUUUGGAAGAUCACCUCAUGAUGAUCUAUAGUGACUAGGCUGGGGUAAGUCUAUUUUACGUUGUAUUUUAAAGUUGAUUUGUUACUGCUUUUCUAGUCUCUAAAUGUUGGGAAAGUUACUUUGAUUUGGAACUUGGUUUAACUUCUUUAGAUAUUUCUUAGUGUUUCCUCUAUUAAGUUUACUUUAUUAUUACUUCUAUUAGUUGUAUUGUUCAUUUAUAGCUUUAGUUUCAUUUGUAUUUGAUUUAGUUUGAAAGCACUCUUAUGGGUGUUGUGAUCAAACUUUUCCUUAUUUUGUCAUUGUCUUAGACUAGAAGUAUUCAUACAGAGGUGUGUGGUUUUCCUUACUGUACCACCAUUGGCAUUGUGCAAUGUCAGUUGCCUCUUUGUGUGAGAGUAGAAAUGCACUGGGCAUAUGCUGGGUGAUGUUUGUGGUUAGGAAGUGAGCAUAUCGAUAGUCAGUAUUGCUGUGCAGCAUAGCUUAUCGAUAUAGCAUCCUUUAGUGUACACUGCCACAUAAGGUUCAGUCAAGCAAUUGAUAUGUGAUCACUGGUGUGUUGCCUGCAUGUUCUAGUCUUACACAGGGUUCUUUGUUUAUUGUUAACCUUGAUAAGAGUACACUGGGGAGAAGUAGGCUACUAUUCUCUACUGUAAACUCAUUAUGUAUUCGGUCUAAAACAAGUGCUGCCAGAGCUUAUGUUUCAUUAUACAAGUCUUUGGAAUGCCUAGCUGCAAUGUUAUUGUGCUGCUAUUGGGUUUAUUAAUUCUAAGGUUUAUUGUAGAACAAGUCUAUGCACUUUGACUAAGUUUUGUGAAUUAAUUAAUUAAGAGUCUCAAGUCAAAGCAAUCACUUGCCUUGUACAUUCUUGAUUAUUCUUUGAUCAGUAUUAACUUAAGGGUUGUGGUUCAAGUUCUUUAUUAGUUCUUUAUUCAUAAGGAUGUGAUUGGACUAAGUUGAGUUCAAGGUUUAUUGAGCAGAAAUAGAGAAAGAGGUUAUUUCCACAUUUGCUUUAGUUAUUUCCUAAUUUUGUCUCUGCAAGUUAAAGCAUUUACAUGCCUUGUAUUAAUUCAUUUUGGAAUUUAACUUGACUUUACAGUUAGAGGCAAACUGUGUUAUUGAGUUCGAUUUAUCUCUUUUGAUUGCAUUGGAUUAUCUGAGGAUUAUCAUUGUUCUUUUCAUAAUUUACUUUGCCAGAUUGGUAUUUCCUAAAGCAUUGUAUUUAUAUGGAAAUUCUAUUUUGUAUCAUUUCAGGGUUUAUGCUAACGCCAUAAUAAAAGAACAAGACAGAGUUAAUGUACAUCAUCCGCAUCUUGUCACAUUUUCUCGGUGUCACAUUUGGCGUCGUAGACAGGAUGGUGUAUUAAUACUGCAUCUACCCCCAGUCGAGGAUGAGGUGAGACUCCGGCGAUGACAAUGGGUCAACCAGAGCAAGAGAGUGCACCUGCUGCUUUUCACAAAGCAGGGGAGCACCACCCUGAGGAGGCAGAAGAGGAGGCAGAUGAGGCGAUCAUCAUACUGGAGACAGAAGGUGAGACUCCGGCGAUGACAACGGGUCAACCAGAGCCAGAGAGUGCACCUGCUGCUUUUCACAAAGCAGGGGAGCACCACCCUGAGGACCAAGCCCCUCAAUCUUCAGAUGUGCAAGAUCCAGAGAGAGCACCCGCUGCUGUACACAAAGCAGGGGAGCAUUACCCUGACGAUCUAGCCCCUCAACCCACAUCAGAAGUGCAAGAUACCCCACCGGAGCCCACUACAGAGGAGGAGGUCCCACUUGCCAAAGCGGAGCAGUUGCGCCACACCAGCCGUGCUGAAGCGGGACAACACUCCAAUCCCCAUCCACUCCCGAAGUCCAGUCCGAGUUACCGGCCGUAACUGUUAGAGCUCCUUCGAUCGAUCUCCAAGUUCUCGCAGACUUCAGUCGUUCCCAGUUGCUGUUAGCGCAGAUGUUGGCAGGAGUCCAGCGUUGACGACUUCAUUGUGUUUAGUAACAGAUUAUAUUUUGUACUCUCUUUCUUUUGUAUUAAUCAUUAAGUUAAUGUCAUAUAUUUAGUUAAGUUGUCGGGACGCCAACCUUUAAGCAGGGGAGUAUGUGACAGGUCAUUUACAUAUAGCCCUUGCGCAGCGCCCUCGCUUGAUCUCAAGACUCUCUCACUUAUCAUUGUCUAUUGUUUAGCUUAUCUGUUCCAAGAAGUAGUGAGUCAUUCAUACCACAGCACAUGUACAGCCAACAUUGAUAUCUGUUCUGUGGCAAAAGUUCCAUCUAUUUCAUACAUUUUUCAUGGUACAAGUUAGAAAGGAGAAGUUUGGAAGAUCACCUCAUGAUGAUCUAUAGUGACUAGGCUGGGGGUUUAUGCUAACGCCAUAAUAAAAGAACAAGACAGAGUUAAUGUACAUCAUCCGCAUCUUGUCACAUUUUCUCGGUGUC
RNA transcript from Asterias rubens (European starfish), 2632 nucleotides. RefSeq lists it as uncharacterized. The record is from RefSeq and is a predicted model, not a curated record. The transcript is spliced from 2 exons. Lineage: Eukaryota; Metazoa; Echinodermata; Asteroidea; Forcipulatida; Asteriidae.